GAGUCUACGAAUGUCAUUUCCGGCUUCAUCGUUGGAUGUGGAAUUUCUCUUUUCAGUCGUCGGGUGAAGAGAUUCUUAUUCUCUUCUCCUUCAUUUGCAAAGAACUAUAAAAUUUAGAAAUUUCGGAAGAAAUCUGCUUUUAUCGAAAUCAGUAACAUGUCGUUCGAUAGACAAAAUGGCGGAGGCCACUUCAGGAAUCACCAAAACGGAUUCCGACCAAAUAACUACGGUAACAAUUUUGUUCAGCGCAGUAAUUGGGGUGGAAAUAAUGGAAAUAGGUUUGGUAAUGGCUACCAAUCUGAAGGCAUUCCUAAACAGUUGCAGGAGGUUGAAUGGGGUAGCAAGCAAUUGCAUCCUUUUAAAAAAGACUUCUACAUCCCUCAUCCUACCAUCACAAACCGAUCUCCCUGUGAAGUUGAUCAAUUCCGUGAUGGAAAAAAGAUUACAGUAGAAGGCGAAAAUAUUCCAGCUCCAAUUCAGAAUUUUCAUGAGGCAAACUUUCCGGAUUAUGUUAUGGACGAAAUCGUAGCUCAGGGCUAUGAAUACCCAACUUCUGUUCAGGCUCAGGGCUGGCCAAUUGCUAUGAGUGGGCGGGAUAUGGUGGGAAUUGCCCAAACUGGAUCUGGAAAAACGCUAGCAUAUAUAUUACCAGCUAUUGUUCAUAUCAACAAUCAAGCAUCAGUGAGACGCGGUGAAGGUCCAAUUGCUCUGAUUUUGGCUCCAACAAGAGAAUUAGCGCAACAAAUACAAAAAGUCGCCAAUGACUUUGGUCAGACCUCUCAAAUUCGCAAUUGUUGUGUAUUUGGGGGUGCCUCAAAAAUUCCACAGGCUCGCAAUUUGGAAAGAGGAGUUGAAAUUUGCAUCGCGACUCCAGGCAGAUUGAUAGAUUUUUUGGAGAGAGGCACAACAAAUUUGGAAAGGUGCACCUAUUUGGUGCUUGAUGAAGCAGACCGUAUGUUGGAUAUGGGCUUUGAACCGCAAAUUCGCAAGAUUAUUAGCCAAAUCAGGCCUGAUAAACAAACACUGAUGUGGUCUGCAACCUGGCCAAAUGUAGUUAAAAAACUAGCUUCAGAUUUUAUGAAAAAUUACGUUCAACUGAAUGUCGGUUCCUUACAACUCUCUGCAAAUCCCAACAUCAAUCAGAUUGUUGAUGUAUGCCAAGAACAUGAGAAAGAAAACAAAUUGAGUCAGCUUUUGCAAGAGAUUGGAGCAGAGCUGGAAGCGAAGAUCUUGAUUUUUGUGGAGACCAAAAAAAAGGUUGAGGCUAUAACCGACACUAUUAGGAGGACGGGUUGGCCAGCGAUUUCAAUCCAUGGUAACAAGAGUCAACAAGAGCGUGACAACGUCAUUCAUCAAUUCAGAAGUGGAAAGUCCGCAAUUCUUGUAGCGACUGACGUCGCGGCAAGGGGCCUUGAGGCACAUGCAGGUUGAGCAUGUUUUUUAACUAUAGCCCACCCACUUAUAUGCAUUUGCGCUAAAAAAAAAAAAUGCAAUUUAGUCUUGCCAGUGCCUCUUUACGACCAACAGGAUUUUCAUGGAUAACUGGGUUACCUCUAUUUCAUCCCAAUGUUUUCUUAUUCCAUACUUUCCUGUCUACACUAUCCACCCUCACUAAUCGGUAGAAGGCAACUCUGCGCUGGAAUAUGUUGGCAAGACGAAAAACUGUUGCUGUCGGCAAGAGUUUUCACUUCGUUCUGGUCAGCUUAAUCUGUCGAAAGUGAAAUUGCUGUGGUCCGUUGAAGCAGAUAAAUUUGCUACUAAUUGCGUAGUUUACUCAUGUGUUUUUUAAAUUUCACAAAAGACACAGUUCACAACUUGACGGAUUUUCGUUAGAAACUCGAGUUCCAGAUGAUGUAGAAGGUAUAAAAUAUGUGGUCAACUAUGACUACCCCCAUUCUUCAGAGGAUUAUAUACACAGAAUUGGCAGAACUGGUAGGUCUGAUACUACCGGUACGUCCUACGCGUUUUUCACACCAUCAAACUUCAAGCAC
Cylas formicarius (sweet potato weevil) is the source of this 1991-nucleotide RNA transcript. It is a transcript of the gene named probable ATP-dependent RNA helicase DDX17, with no coding region annotated. The record is from RefSeq and is a predicted model, not a curated record. The transcript is spliced from 6 exons. Lineage: Eukaryota; Metazoa; Arthropoda; Insecta; Coleoptera; Brentidae.